This 388-nucleotide ribosomal RNA is filed under the name uncultured Anoxybacillus sp. RNAcentral describes it as "bacterial SSU rRNA". It matches the Rfam family "Bacterial small subunit ribosomal RNA", at positions 998 to 1382 of the family's 1533-position model. Lineage: Bacteria; Bacillati; Bacillota; Bacilli; Caryophanales; Anoxybacillaceae. The record is from RNAcentral.
CCCGAGAGAUCGGGCGUUCCCCUUCGGGGGACAGGGUGACAGGUGGUGCAUGGUUGUCGUCAGCUCGUGUCGUGGGAUGUUGGGUUAAGUCCCGCAACGAGCGCAACCCUCGACCUUAGUUGCCAGCAUUCAGUUGGGCACUCUAAGGUGACUGCCGGCUAAAAGUCGGAGGAAGGUGGGGAUGACGUCAAAUCAUCAUGCCCCUUAUGACCUGGGCUACACACGUGCUACAAUGGGCGGUACAAAGGGUCGCGAACCCGCGAGGGGGAGCCAAUCCCAAAAAGCCGCUCUCAGUUCGGAUUGCAGGCUGCAACUCGCCUGCAUGAAGCCGGAAUCGCUAGUAAUCGCGGAUCAGCAUGCCCGCGGUCCGAAUACGUUCCCGGGCCUU